RNAcentral lists this ribosomal RNA (495 nucleotides) under uncultured bacterium. Its description in RNAcentral is "partial 16S ribosomal RNA". It matches the Rfam family "Bacterial small subunit ribosomal RNA", at positions 28 to 507 of the family's 1533-position model. The record is from RNAcentral.
GACGAACGCUGGCGGCGUGCCUAAUACAUGCAAGUAGAACGCUGAAGGAGGAGCUUGCUCUUCUGGAUGAGUUGCGAACGGGUGAGUAACGCGUAGGUAACCUGCCUGGUAGCGGGGGAUAACUAUUGGAAACGAUAGCUAAUACCGCAUAAGAGUAGAUGUUGCAUGACAUUUACUUAAAAGGUGCAAUUGCAUCACUACCAGAUGGACCUGCGUUGUAUUAGCUAGUUGGUGGGGUAACGGCUUACCAAGGCGACGAUACAUAGCCGACCUGAGAGGGUGAUCGGCCACACUGGGACUGAGACACGGCCCAGAAUCCUACGGGAGGCAGCAGUAGGGAAUCUUCGGCAAUGGACGGAAGUCUGACCGAGCAACGCCGCGUGAGUGAAGAAGGUUUUCGGAUCGUAAAGCUCUGUUGUAAGAGAAGAACGAGUGUGAGAGUGGAAAGUUCACACUGUGACGGUAUCUUACCAGAAAGGGACGGCUAACUACGUG